RNAcentral lists this long non-coding RNA (352 nucleotides) under Mytilus galloprovincialis (Mediterranean mussel). Lineage: Eukaryota; Metazoa; Mollusca; Bivalvia; Mytilida; Mytilidae. The record is from RNAcentral.
AAGCAUUUAGAGCAAAUCUGACACGAGGUAAAAUUGUUAAUCAGGUCAAGAUCUAUCUGCCCUGAAAUUUUUAGAUGAAUCAAACAACCCGUUGAUAGGUUGCUGCCCCUGAAUUGAUAAUUUUAAGGAAAUUUUGCUGUUUUUGGUAAUUAUCUUGAAUAUUAUCAUAGAUAGAGAUAAACUGUAAACAGCAAAAAUGUUCAGUAAAGUAAGAUCUACAAAUAAGUCAACAAGACCAAAAUGGUCUGUUGACCCCUUUAAGAGUUAUUGCCCUUUAUAGUCAAUUUUUAACCAUUUUUCGUAAAUCUUAGUCAUCUUUUACAAAAAUCUUCUCCUCUGAAACUACUGGGCC